CAGUAGCCGUGGUAAUACAGAGGGUGCGAGCGUUAAUCGGAUUUACUGGGCGUAAAGCGUGCGUAGGCGGCUUCUUAAGUCGGAUGUGAAAUCCCUGAGCUUAACUUAGGAAUUGCAUUCGAUACUGGGAAGCUAGAGUAUGGGAGAGGAUGGUAGAAUUCCAGGUGUAGCGGUGAAAUGCGUAGAGAUCUGGAGGAAUACCGAUGGCGAAGGCAGCCAUCUGGCCUAAUACUGACGCUGAGGUACGAAAGCAUGGGGAGCAAACAGGAUUAGAUACCCGCGUAGUCCCUGUCUCUUAUAC
RNAcentral lists this ribosomal RNA (301 nucleotides) under uncultured bacterium. Its description in RNAcentral is "partial 16S ribosomal RNA". It matches the Rfam family "Bacterial small subunit ribosomal RNA", at positions 509 to 807 of the family's 1533-position model. The record is from RNAcentral.